GCGAAUGGCUCAUUAAAUCAGUUAUCGUUUAUUCCGAAAACCCUUACUACUUGGAUAACCGUGGUAAUUCUAGAGCUAAUACAUGCUGAAAAUCCCGACUUCGGAAGGGAUGUGUUUAUUAGAUAAAAAACCAAUGCCCUUCGGGGCUUUUUGGUGAUUCAUGAUAACUUUACGGAUCGCAUAGCCUUGCGCUGGCGACGGUUCAUUCAAAUUUCUGCCCUAUCAACUUUCGAUGGUAAGGUAUUGGCUUACCAUGGUUUCAACGGGUAACGGGGAAUUAGGGUUCGAUUCCGGAGAGGGAGCCUGAGAAACGGCUACCACAUCCAAGGAAGGCAGCAGGCGCGCAAAUUACCCAAUCCCGACACGGGGAGGUAGUGACAAUAAAUACUGAUACAGGGCUCUUUUGGGUCUUGUAAUUGGAAUGAGUACAAUUUAAACCUCUUAACGAGGAACAAUUGGAGGGCAAGUCUGGUGCCAGCAGCCGCGGUAAUUCCAGCUCCAAUAGCGUAUAUUAAAGUUGUUGCAGUUAAAAAGCUCGUAGUUGAAACUUGGGCCUGGCUGGCGGGUCCGCCUCACCGCGUGCACUCGUCCGGCCGGGCCUUCCUUCUGAAGAACCUCAUGCCCUUCACUGGGCGUGCUGGGGAAUCAGGACUUUUACUUUGAAAAAAUUAGAGUGUUCAAAGCAGGCCUUUGCUCGAAUACGUUAGCAUGGAAUAAUAAAAUAGGGCGUGCGUUUCUAUUUUGUUGGUUUCUAGAGACGCCGCAAUGAUUAACAGGAACAGUCGGGGGCAUCAGUAUUCAGUUGUCAGAGGUGAAAUUCUUGGAUUUACUGAAGACUAACUACUGCGAAAGCAUUUGCCAAGGAUGUUUUCAUUAAUCAGUGAACGAAAGUUAGGGGAUCGAAGACGAUCAGAUACCGUCGUAGUCUUAACCGUAAACUAUGCCGACUAGGGAUCGGGCGAUGUUCUUUUUCUGACUCGCUCGGCACCUUACGAGAAAUCAAAGUUUUUGGGU
This 1014-nucleotide ribosomal RNA is filed under the name Alternaria arborescens. RNAcentral describes it as "SSU rRNA". It matches the Rfam family "Eukaryotic small subunit ribosomal RNA", at positions 89 to 1112 of the family's 1831-position model. The record is from RNAcentral. Lineage: Eukaryota; Fungi; Ascomycota; Dothideomycetes; Pleosporales; Pleosporaceae.